Molecule: ribosomal RNA, 253 nt
Filed under: uncultured bacterium
Lineage: Bacteria
Description: partial 16S ribosomal RNA
Rfam family: Bacterial small subunit ribosomal RNA
Source: RNAcentral
UACAGAGGUCUCAAGCGUUGUUCGGAUUCAUUGGGCGUAAAGGGUGCGUAGGCGGCGCGGUAAGUCGGGUGUGAAAUCUCGGAGCUUAACUCCGAAACUGCAUUCGAUACUGCCGUUCUUGAGGGAUGCAGAGGAGACUGGAAUUCCCGGUGUAGCGGUGAAAUGUGUAGAGAUCGGGAGGAACACCGGUGGCGAAGGCGGCGUUCUGGACUGCAUCUGACACUGAAAGACGAAAGCCAGGGGAGCAAACGGG